ACAAACUUGGUCAUUUAGAGGAAGUAAAAGUCGUAACAAGGUUUCCGUAGGUGAACCUGCGGAAGGAUCAUUAGUGAAUAAACAAGUGCAGGUUGUGCUGGCCUUCUUGGUAUGUGCACGCCUGCCAAAGUUUCAUUCCAUCUUCCCACCUGUGCACUCUGUGUAGAUUCUGUAUGCUGUUGUCAAGCCUUUAUUGUGCUUGGUUGAGAGGAGUUGCUUGUUUUCACAAACAAGCUCUUCUUGGGCAUGCAGGUCUAUGUUUAUAUCAACACCAUAUGAAUGUUUUAGAAUGUGUAUCAGGCUUUUGGCCUUUAAAUUAUAUACAACUUUCAACAACGGAUCUCUUGGCUCUCGCAUCGAUGAAGAACGCAGC
RNAcentral lists this unclassified non-coding RNA (373 nucleotides) under uncultured fungus. Its description in RNAcentral is "partial contains small subunit ribosomal RNA, internal transcribed spacer 1, and 5.8S ribosomal RNA". The stretch from base 1 to 73 matches the Rfam family "Eukaryotic small subunit ribosomal RNA", at positions 1759 to 1831 of the family's 1831-position model. The record is from RNAcentral. Lineage: Eukaryota; Fungi.